This 88-nucleotide transfer RNA is filed under the name Deltaproteobacteria bacterium. RNAcentral's name for it is "tRNA-Leu". It matches the Rfam family "tRNA". Rfam says of the family: Transfer RNA (tRNA) molecules are approximately 80 nucleotides in length. Their secondary structure includes four short double-helical elements and three loops (D, anti-codon, and T loops). Lineage: Bacteria; Pseudomonadati; Myxococcota; Myxococcia. The record is from RNAcentral. RNAcentral also lists the same sequence under 2 other names.
GCCCGGGUGGCGGAAUAGGUAGACGCAAGGGACUUAAAAUCCCUCGGUGUAAUACACCGUGCCGGUUCAAUUCCGGCCCCGGGCACCA